Molecule: long non-coding RNA, 6610 nt
Organism: Mus musculus (house mouse)
Lineage: Eukaryota; Metazoa; Chordata; Mammalia; Rodentia; Muridae
Product: predicted gene, 35425
Exons: 4
Source: RefSeq, a predicted model, not a curated record
GAGUACAGGAAAUAAUUUAGCCCACGCACCUGCACAGAAAACCCACAUCAACGAGUUUGCUUCGGCAGUCAGGCUGGGGAACCAAAGGCUAAGCCUGAAAGCAAACGUGAAAUCAAAUACGAAAAUUGCACAGCAGCUCCGCAGGAGUCAGCUAUCCAGAGGCCCCGCUGAAACCCCAUCUGUCAGGUAGAGUUUCAGACACAUUUUGAUGUUUUGGUCACCUGACCCAAGCUCUUCAGCCCAAUUGGCCCCCAAAUUCCCAGGGCAGGUAAUGAGGUAACCAGAGUGUGUGGGAACGAGAGGAUAGGGUAGAUACAACUUUCCCCGUCAUUCAUUAGACUGUCUACUAAUUCUGCUUGUUUCUUGGUUUGACGUCUGCUUAUCAGGAAAUUUGAACUUCUUAAAGAAACGGAAUGACUUUAUCUACACCUGGGACAGAAUUUAGUAACAUUUGUGUAAAAUUAAACCAUUGUAACAGAAAAUAGUAAUUUGGGAGAUUAAAUUAUUUAUAUGUUAAUUUAACAGCCAAUAUGUUUUAAUGCGCUUGUGUUUUGUUUUUCUCUGCUCUCUUAUUAAAUAUCAUUUGGAAUAUCACACUGUCAUCCUUGGCUUGCCUGCAAAGUCAUAGAAAUAAAUGUGCUGACUUAUCCAUGAUUUUUCUAAUCCUUUUCUUAGUCUCACAGGGAUUUUGUCCAAACAAAAUAAAUGUUUAUCCACAUGGCAUUUGUCACUAUGGGAACUUUUGGCCUUUAAAAUGCUGACUCUAGUAGCAGAGACAACCAACAGGAGAAAUUCGCCUUGUUUGACAAGAAUAAACAGAACCAGUUUGGCUAGGAACCCUUGGUAUAGCCUAGCCUAAUGGGGGAGGGACAGAGAUCAGGAAACCAAGCAGAUGUGGGUUUUCUGGCAAAACCGGGAGCUCAAACGUCACAGAAAAACUUGAAGGGAUUUUUCCUUAAUUUCAUGUAACUAAUUCCAAACAUGAACAACAUUAGCUGAUGUGUUAGCAUAUAUGUAUAACAACUUUUGCAACUAAUAAUGCCACUCUUUAUACUCCUGUGUUGAGCCUGACAAUCUGCUCUGACAGCUUGACAACUGACAGGAAAUAGACUGGUCUGCAAACUUCAGAAUAAACUCGGAGUGACUUUUUUUUCCUUUUAAGUCAAUUGAUCCAAUGCUGUGACACUCCCUGAGUCGUUGUAAGUAUUUCCCUCUCUCAAAAUAUAUCAUAUGAUUAUCAAACACAUCUUUGUGGGGGAUAGGGGUGGCUCAUAACAGCUUUAUCAUUUCCCUCACCAAAGUGUGUAUAGUGUCAAGUACACGCAAAAGAUAUGGGGCCGGAGAUCUCCUUAACCAACUGGGGACUGUAUCAAACAUGAAGAGGAAUCAGUGUGAGAACUGGUGUGAGCUCUCUGUAGAAAGCACACAGCCACGCUCAGAUAUGUAAUUCGGGAAGCAGGCAUGGAAGAGGUGAGGCAGUCCUGGGGAUAGUGUUCUAUAGUGACUGAUGAGAAAUAAAUCCACCUUGGAUAUAUUAUUUCAUGAUCCCAGUAUAUAUAUACACACACACACAAACACACAUCUGACUGCUGCUCCCCUUAAGACAUGGGUCCAGUUCAAGAUAAGCAAUUUCAAUAUGAAAAGCUUCUAACACACAGAUAAAAAUGAUUUAGGUCUUCCAGGUGUGCCAUAAUUCUUGGCAGGGAAAAAAAAAAGUUCACUCUGGGUGUAUAAUCUCUUAAAGAAAUUUGUUGUCAGAGCUGGAUGAAACCAUCACGUUAGAAAAAUAGAAGCUCAGCUACAAACAAAGUGUAAGGUGCGAUGGUGGAACUCUCUGCUGCAUGAACUCCCUUUUGCUUAUGUAAACACUGCUGGAUUUGGGCAUCAUUUCAAAAGAGGUACAGCUGAGCAUGUAGGAGCCUAUAGAAACAGGACAGACUCUUGGUGGGAGGUUUGGGGUGGGGUUCUAGUGCCAAGCCAGAGUCUAAUGCCCAGACAAAGGAAGAAAGAAGAUGCAUUUUAUAGCUUACAGAUUUUUUUCUUUCUGUCUUUUUUUCCCCCCUCUCUCUCUCUUAAGGCAGCAGACCAACCAAAUAACUCAAUCAACAACAACAAAACUGAGAUGCGCCGUGCAGUGGGAAAUGUUAUAACAACUUGAAUAACGAAGAGGCCCCCGAAGGAGUGGGAAUGUAGGCGAAGGGGGAAAGGCCCAUAUUAUGGAAUAUUUAAACACUGUAAUUCGAUGCACAUUUAUUAAUUGGCUGCUUUUUAAGAGAUCCUUAUUUAUGGCAGGUCUAGGAACAAUAUAGCAAGCACAGAGCUCUCAUGGCUUGUUGUGCUUUCCAUAUGUUCAGAUGAAAUGAACAUCACAUCUAAUAGUGGUGCUCCCUGCUCUUGAAGUGUCUGCCAGUACCACAUCCCUUGGGAGCUGUUACCACCAAAUUAAUAUCCUGUGGGUCACUUAACUAAAAAAACCACAUUAUAGAGGCAUUAUGUGAUUAGAUGUACUGCUUUUACAAGGCGGUUGGGGUGUGUACUUUGCCUCUGCUCCAGAAAGGAUGGCAGGGCUCAUAUACAUAGACCUCCAAGCCAGAGUCUCUGCGAGGCCAAUGACAGUACAGACACAUGUCCAAAAAUGUGACCUCCAUUCGCUGUCAGAAGCUGCUUUUACAAGAUCAACCAGGGUGACUUGCUUAGUAAGAAACAGACCUGAACAGCUGGUGGGGAUUAGCUGCUCUGAAGGGAGGUGUUUUCUGUCUCUAUCAGGCCAGCUUGUCACCAAAUGCUUAUACUAAGUACAGGGCCAUGGGAUGCUCCAGUGGCUCAGUGAAUCAGCGUGGGCUGCUUACACAGAGCCAUACGGCGACCAUAGUGCCCUAUCAAAGCUAGGAUCUACCAGCCAGAAAAGACUAGGGCUGUGAAUUUGAAACGUGUCCUUUAGUCUCCACCCAAACAGCUGGAAGUAUGUUUUGUUGUUGUUUGAGUUCUGAAGGCAUCUGGCAGCAGCACACCAGGCAGUUCUAGCAGGAGAUUCAGUUGGGUCAAGUGCCGUGGCUGCAGGCAGUAUAGAUGAAUAGCUCCUCCUUAAGCUCACUCUUGAGUCUCUCAGGAGAUAAUUCAUGUAUGCAUCUUUCAGAUGGCAGCCAAAGAGGGUGCAGGCUGCCCUCAAGAGGGGAGCAAGCCUCAAAAGCAUCUAGGAGGGACACUAAGGGCUAGACAUAUGUUUGAGUAGGACUCUGGGAUAUCUGUGGUUACAUUCCCAAUCAAGUAAAGAUGAUGUCUUUCUUGAUUGGGAAAACCAUGCAGUAGUUACUUUUGCUUUUUACUGGGUUGGCCCUGAGUACAUAUUAUAACUUGAUGGCUUGCUUAAGAGAUUUUUUUUUUUUUUGGUUGUUGUUGUUCAGCCAUCUAGACUGCCAGUGGAUACUGUCACUACAAAGCAUACUGAUCAGCUGUGAGCUACAGUCUACACAUAGAAGCAAAAGAACUUCUGGGGGUUGAGGUGGGCAAUGAAGUAGGAACAGAAUUUCUCAUCAAAGCAUUAAAUUCUUGAACAGCUCUUUAAAAACAUCAUCAAAUAUUUACUCUCCAGAGAAAGUAGAAUUUUAUAGAAGAGAGGCAUCCUGAGGAGUUGCUUUUGGAAGCCCUGCUUACAGGUUUAAGUAGACAGGGUCUCCACUCUGCCUAUCCAUGGUUGCUCAUUAUUCCUCAGCCUGAUAUCACAAAGAAACCAUGUGAAAAGGAGCCUGGCAGGGUGGAUUGUGUUCUUUCUAUCCUGUCUUGCCAGCUGCCACGUUUCUGAACUGCCAGGAUUCUCAGUCUCAGCCGUGUAUCUCUCUCUCUCUCUCUCUCUCUCUCUCUCUCUCUCUCUCUCUCUCUCUCUCUCUGUGUGUGUGGGGGGGGUGUAAUUGUAAUGGGAUUCUAAUAUUUACCCAAAGAUUAAUAAUUAGUGAAACAAAUUUCAGUUUCUUCCAUUUGUAUCCUGAAACUGGUAACAAGUGGAGACAACUCCUGACUUGGAUUAAUUAGACAUGAGGAUGUCAAGAGCUACUCAGAAGAUCUCAGGGCUUCUCCAGCCACCCUGCCCAAAAGGUCAUAAUGCUAUGCCACCCAUGAUCCCCAAGGCUGACGAGAAGAGCUGUGUUCAAGAAGAGGAACACGUGGAGCACCAUGACUGACGAAGGAGACACAGAUGUAAAAAUGGCAGCAGGGUAGAAAGCAAAGGUGGAAACGCUACAUUGUGGACUUCUGAGAGCUUUGGUAUAAAGGGCGAUGAAGGAGAACUCGCCGAGGCCAGCCGAAGCCAGCCUGCUGAAUGCUGCUGUAAUUACACAGUAGCCUGGAGUAGCUCUUCUCAAAUCAAAUUAUGAGCCUGGAUUACCUAAAACUCUCAGGGCACCGUCCAGGUUUUCAUUUGUCUGGAGGUUGCUGUCAGCAAGCAGGUUUUUUUUUUUUCCUUCUCAUUAUUCUUUGCAAGGAUUAUCAAGGCCCCACUUCCGAGGCAGUAUCCCAGAGCUAGGAGACUCUGGGAAGAGGGCCGUUUUCUCACAAGGCUUGUCUCCCUGUGCACUUAUCGCUUACUUUUCAAAAGUAUAAAAGGAACAAAAUGAAAAGAAACUCUUUUUUUCCGUGUUUCAUACUUUUCUAUCAUUUGCAUAUCAAAGUUUAUGUCCAGCUGAGUUUACUCAUGAUUCUUUGGCAAAUAUUUAUGCUUUGUUAAUGUCUCAACCACCUAUACAGCAAUUAGAACAAGAGUCAACAGGCUCAACCAUAUUUGGAUCAUUGUUUGAACACCUGACUGUCCCCUGGGAAGUGUGCACUGCACUAGAAAUAAGAGGAAUAUGAAGAUCAUCUAGAGGUCACGGCUCCUGGAGUAGAGGCUCCCUACAGUGUGUGGCCCUGUGACACUCCUUUAAGCUCUCAUUUUCUCCAUGGACAGCCAAAGAUACGGAACUUCAUCAUUCUAAAGGCUUCCGUUCUUCUAGUCUCACCUGUGAACACAGCACCUAUGUAUUGUUUAAGCAAUUCUUGUGCCUUAUCGGAAAAAGUAGGAUUUUAACUUCCACAGCCAACAGUGAAUAUGGCACACUUUUAUAUCCACAACAUGUGACAAUUUCUCCCACUGUUCUUUGGAAAUGCAAUGCUGAAGGCUUUUCGAUACAAAGAGACCUCUUAGAGGUCUCAGAUGAGUACUUUGAAGAUGCUAAGGCAAGACCUCAAGGUGAUGGGAACAUAGCUCCUGGAAAUCGCCUGGACCAUGACAGACCUAUGGACCUACGGUAGGAGAACACAAAGGACUCCAAUGACCAUGGCUGGCUGGGAACCCUGCAUGGCCCCUUACAGUUAAUCGAGAGAGCUGUGGCAGAGAACUCCCAGCAUCCUGGCUGCUCCUGGUCACUCCAGCUGACUCCUGCCAAUUUUGCAGAGGCCUGGUGGUUUCUUCCAUAUCAUGCCACAGUUGCUCAUUCGUGUUUGGUGACACUUUCGAAUUGGACUGCUGGUAUCCUGACAGACAUAGAAUGGAAUUGCCCCCAAAGAACUAUUUCUAAGCAGGUCCAAACCAUCCAUUGCCCUACUAACCUUUCUUUUCUACUACCUCUGGUGGGUGGUAGGCUAGGAGGGGAGUUAAGGUGUUUAAGAACCCUUAUUAAAAUAGGUUUUGAGAUAUAUAAGACUACAAGGAUCUGGUUUAAGACUUUCAGCCAUCAUAUUCCUUUCUGGGUUUUUCUUAGAUGCGAAGAUCUUUACUUAAUUUAAAACUUCCUCUUUGAUGUUUCAAAGAGUUUAGUCAAGUAUCUCAGUACCUGGUCCUGCCUUUCUAGACAACCAAUACCUAUAUCAGAAGAAUGUAUCAUGACGACUAAACAUAUAACUAACCACUAGAACUCAUAUACACAUAAACUAGGGGAUCCGGAAGCACAUGGGUGACAAAUAACAACUUCACCCGACUCAGGGUUCAUAUAUCCCCCAAAGGAAAAGAGCAUCAACAAUAAGUUUCCUAAACUGUGUCAGACAGCAGUGAACGGCAACAACAGGACAUUCUGCCUGGUGUCGUGGGACCCACGCUGCCGUGCCUGGUGAUGAGAUUUGGGAUCUGGGCCUGAUUAUUUGACUUUUUGAACCUCUGUGUUCAGAAUUCAUAAAUAACACUACUUUAUUUUGAAAUUAUAAGGAUUCAUUACAGUGUCCAGAACCCUUGACAUAGUAGCCACCACAGAGUUGAUAGCCACUUCAUUUCUUUAGCUCGGACUUUCAAAACCUAUGGCUGUACUCCUAUUUCAAAACCACAAACCUAAUUUUCCAAAAAACAUACACUAGGCCAAGAUAUCAACAUCGGAAAACUUUGAAAUAAAACUUAGACUGCAAGUCAGCUAAGGUGGCAUGGGCCUAUUAUUCCAGCUAAUCGGGAGGCUGAACUAGGAAGUUUAAAAGUCCAGAGCCAGUCUAGAAAACACUGAGCCUUAACGGGGCUGGGGAAAUGGCUCAGUGGUGGAACAUGUACUUAGCCUGUGCAAAGGCCCCAGGUUCAACCUCCAGUGCUACUGAAAGAAAGAGAAAGCUGAUGUAGCUCAGCGAGAGGUUUGCAUAGGCAAAGCCCUUGGGUCAGACC